AAAGCAGCACUGUUGUAAAUUUUUUUCAUUAUGUUACCUACUAUGCAAGUAUAAAACAAACAAAAAAGUCAACUUUAUCUCUGCAAUAAUUCCAGGCUAGACAAACAUUAAUACAAGAAUAGUAAAAUGGUGGCAACUUUUACAGGGAUAAAUUGUACCUUUUACAGAGUGAAAAGCAGCUUUUGUUUGAAAGUGAAAGCAAAAUAAGGGUUCUCACAGCUAUGUGCCACCAUGAAUGUUAACUACAAAGGCUGUUGCGAAAAUACAGUCCAGUGAUGAUUCAGUCUGAUAGCUAGGCCGAUACUGUAAUUACUCAUCAAUUUCCAAGAACGUGAAUUGAUUAUUUCCAAAAAAAGUCUUGUUAUGUAAGAUGCUAAUGUAAAGGUUUUAAUAAGUUAAUCUUGAUCAGUUUUAUGUGUGAAUAAAUAAAAUGUUUUUAUUUGGGAAAAUAAAAUAUUAAAGUAAGUGAGGUGUUUUAAAUUUUAAGUCAUAACCGUAAGUGACAAAUGUUUAUUAGUGAAUCAGCUGAAGGCUAGACAUCAGAAGCAGGAGAGGCGAGAGUACACAAACUUCACGAGAUACUAAGCACUGUAUUGUCAAGAUGAUGACGUUUUGCUUCAUUGCAGCUUUGCUCCUCUUUGCUGGCUUGCCAGCACCCACGGCAAGUCUCGGGUGCCUGUCAAACUCUAACUGUGUCAGCUAUUGUUCUGGUUGUAUAUACGGCGGCACCCCAAAAUGCGCCCUUAAAACCACCGGCACAUGCCAAUGCCUUGGGUGCGGACCAUAGCCACAUGGUCUGAUGUAGAACAAUAAGACUUCCAAGCAAAACAGAAGACAUGCAGAUUUUCGUAUUUUUAUCAACAGCUUGGAAAAAAUAAAUUAAAAGAUGAAAACGCAUUUCAAAUUGAUUUUGACUGAUUUCCUCUCUGACUGCCUAAGGCAAUUAUUUUACCCUGAGAAGAAUAAUAACAGUAGUUAUUCACUAAAUUGGUAAAAGUAUUUGUUGUCAGAAAUAAUAAGACAGAAUAAUUGUUUGCAACAGGUGGUUUGUAGGCCUGAAGGGCUGGGUGUUCUUUUAACAUGGCACGUUGAUAAAUGAUGAUGAUGAUUAUUAUUAAACUUUACGAGGACUGUUUUUUUUUCCCAAAACAAGUUUGUCUAAACAGUCCUUCUUCGAACCACACGCGUGCUUGACCUUGCAGAUCAUGUGUGUCGUAGAAGAUGCCAAAGUUGGCACAGAUUUUCUGGAGGAAAGUAUUACAGCAUUUGAAGAUUUCGUUCAAUCUGUAGACGUUGUAGCUUUCAAUAAGAUCUAAGCAUGGUUGGUAUUGUGACCAAACCAAUAUUGCCAAUAAACUGUGGACCACAACUUUAUAUAUAAACCUUCAGCAAUUUUUAAAUGAAGAAGAUUUUCGUAUAUUGUUGAGUGACUUAAACAAAUUUGAAUUCUUGUUUUUGACCAUAAUUCAUGUGACUUAAUUCUCAAUAAAUAUUUGUCAGAACUUUUAUGAAAUGGCUAAAUCAAUUUGUGUUGUUUUCUGCUAGAGGUCAAAAUUAACAAUUUUGAGUUCCCUGCUCACUUAGAAAUGGAAAAACCUGAAAGAUGCUGGUCAAAGAUGAAUCAUGCAACUGCGAGAAUAUAUGAAAUAUGACAGGAUUCUGUCUUUAGUUGGAGCAUGCAGUUUAUUUUGACUCUAUUUUCCAAUAAAUUUAGGUAAAACUCAUAACCUUAAAUAAAAAGUAGUACUGUAAUAAAUGUUUUCAAUGGGUUAUUAUGUAGUUAAUAAAACAAAAAGUAAUCUUUAUGUUUGUAAUAAUUUCUGGCUAGACAAAUACUGAUACAUGAGCAUAUCAAAUUAUUUGCAACUUUUUCAGCAGCUUUUGGUACAAACUGAACGCAAAAUAGGGGUUCUCACAUCAAUGGAUAUGAACUUCAAAGGCUUUUGCAUCAAAACGGCCCAAGGAAUGACUCAGUCUGAUAGCUAGGCCGAUAUUGUAAUUAGUCGUUAAUUUCCAACAACGUGAAUUGAUAAUUUUCUCAAAAAACGUCAUAUUAUUAAUAUGUAAAAUGCUUAUGUAAAGGUUUUAAUAAAUUCAUCAUGAUCAGUUUUAUAUGUGAAUAAAUAUAGUGAUGUUAUUUGGAAAAAAUAUAAUAUUAAAUCAAGUGAGGUGUUUAAAAUUUAAGUCAUAACCGUAGGCGACAAAUGUUUAUUAGUGAAUCAGCUGAACGCUAGUCAUCAGAAACAGGAGACACCAGAGUAGACAAUCUUCACAAGAUACUAAGCACUGUAUUGUCAAGAUGAUGAAGUUUUGCGUCAUUGCAGCUUUGCUCCUCUUUGCAGGCUUGCCAGCACCCACGACGAGUAGUGGGUGCAAAACACAUUCUGACUGUACCAGCUCCUGUUCUCGUUGUACACCAGCAGGCGUAUUCGGCGGCACUCCAUACUGCGUCCUUAAAACCACCGGAACAUGUCAAUGCCUGGGAUGCCAAUGAUAGGCCUACUGAUGUGAUAAACAAGACUUCCAAGCAAAACAGACGACACGCAAAUUUUCAAAUUUUCAUAUUUAGUUAAACAGCUUGGAGCAAAAUAAAGUAUGAAAAUUAAUUUAUAACUGAUUUUGACUGAAUUCCUCUUUGAUUGUCCUAGGACAAUAAUUUUACCCUGAACAGAAUAAUAACAUUAAUUGUUCGGUAAAUGGAAACAAGUUUUUUUUUUGUUGAAAUAAAUAACUAUAAUUAUUACUGUUUGACUCAGGAUUUGGUUGGCUUGUAGACCAAAUAACGAUCGCCAAAUUUAACCACAUUUUGCAUUCAGAUUGGACCUUUUUGUGAUCAAGACCGGUCCAUAGAUGGUAGAUUGAAAUCUAAUGUAUGUAUGACGUAGUUACCUGUAAAUGCAUUAUUCAGUCUCAGUGUCAAGAAAUAGGGCCUACUCAUCUUCUUUACUAGAUUCCAAAGGAAAAACUUUUUUGUAGUAUUGAAGUGUUUUGGGUCACGCCCAAAAUUAUUUGUUGUAACUUAAAUUAUCGAUCUUGAAAUAAUAAAAUAAAUUGGGUAUAUAGGGGUCGCUUGUAAAAUGCCAUCAAAUUGGAGAGUGGGCGAAUGCAUAAUACCUUUAUUUUGUUUUUACAGUCUAAAUUUAUGCAAUUCAUUUGUUCUCAUACAAUGUUUGACAACCUAGUUUGAGAGUUUGCAUAUAUUAUAAUGAAUAAGCAUUAGGCCUACUUUCAUUUUUCUGUUUUUUAAUAAGUGGAAUGCUAAAGUUCAUAAAAUUUUAGGCUACAUCACCUCAAAGAGUUUCUUUUUUAUUUGAAGUGAAAGUAUAAACUAAAAGAAAUAUGCAAAAAAUAAUGUAUGUGAAUCAAAAUAUGAGACCAGUCCUUCAAAUGAAUUAACAUUUGUGAACACAGUGCUCUGUUGAAUUACGACAACAACCUUGCGUGUUUAUAUUUGGAAUCAUGGAAGACAGCCCUCUCUUAGGUAUUAAUCUACUACUUCUCUAUAUAAACAAAUAUUUCAUGUGGACAGAAUAAAAUUACACCUCUUUGGAAUGCCUGCAAAAAGUAUUUGGAAAAGCAAAAGAACAUAGAUUUUCAAUCUUUAUACCUACUGGAUCCUAAAAAGGGAGAUAAUCUAAGAAAAAAAAUGGGAAAGUAUAGAAAAAAUAUUGAUAUGAAUAGAAAAGAACAUUAAUCGUAGCCUAGGCCUACUAAGAUUCUUUAAUUAAAAAAAAACCUACGUGUAUUAUUAAUCAACAUCUGUAAGAACUUUGUUUGCAGUGUGUGAAGGUGUAUUUGUCUCUUAUUGUGUUGUAAAUGCCCUGUAUUAAUU
Long non-coding RNA from Lingula anatina, 3832 nucleotides. The record is from RefSeq and is a predicted model, not a curated record. Lineage: Eukaryota; Metazoa; Brachiopoda; Lingulata; Lingulida; Lingulidae.